ACGGGGGGAGCGAGCGUUGUUCGGAUUCACUGGGCGUAAAGGGUGCGUAGGUGGCUUGGUAAGUUUGAUGUGAAAGCUCAGGGCUCAACCCGGAAAUGGCAUUGAAUACUACUGAGCUGGAGGUUUGGAGGGGGGACUGGAAUUCUCGGUGUAGCAGUGAAAUGCGUAGAUAUUUGGAGGAACACCGAUGGCGAAGGCAGCCCCCUGGGCUAACACUGACGCUCAUGCACGAAAGCGUGGGGAGCAAACAGGA
Molecule: ribosomal RNA, 253 nt
Filed under: uncultured prokaryote
Description: partial 16S ribosomal RNA
Rfam family: Bacterial small subunit ribosomal RNA
Source: RNAcentral